Molecule: ribosomal RNA, 492 nt
Filed under: uncultured bacterium
Lineage: Bacteria
Description: partial 16S ribosomal RNA
Rfam family: Bacterial small subunit ribosomal RNA
Source: RNAcentral
AUUGAACGCUGGCGGUAGGCUUAACACAUGCAAGUCGAACGGCAGCACAGUAUGAGCCUGCUCUUACAGGGGCCAACGGGUGGGUAGUUGAGCAAAACAUGCGCAUCUACUUUUUAGAGGGGGACAACGUAGGGAAUAAUACGCCAAAACAGCAGACGGUGUAAGCGUGGAAGCAGAAGACCUUCCGACCUUGCGCGAGUCGAUGUGCCGAUGUCGGAUUAGCUAGUUGGUGGGGUAAAGGCCCACCAAGGCGACGAUCCGUAGCUGGUCUGAGAGGAUGACCAGCCACACUGGAACUGAGACACGGUCCAGACUCCUACGGGAGGCAGCAGUGGGGAAUUUUGGACAAAGGGCGCAAGCCUGAUCCAGCCAUGCCGCGUGCGUGAAGAAGGCCUUCGGGUUGUAAAGCGCUUUUGUUGGGGAAGAAAAGCUGUAGGCUAAUACCCCGCGGUGCUGACGGUACCGAAAGAAUAAGCACCGGCUAACUUCGUG